GAAAGCUGUGUCUGUGGAGAACGGCAUGAUCAUCAAUGUGCUGGAGCAUGGCACACAGCAGGUGGCAGACUUGACUCUGAACUUAGAUGACUAUAUUGAUGCAGAAGACUCCGGCAACAUAAACCCUCCACCCGAUGCAGUCGCGGUCACAGCGCUAUAAGAACAGAAUGCAUUUUGGAUGUUAUUAUUAAGAACCAAAUGUCAAUACAGAAUUCAUGUUGCCG
This 224-nucleotide long non-coding RNA is filed under the name Rattus norvegicus (Norway rat). RNAcentral's name for it is "long non-coding RNA NONRATT019798". Lineage: Eukaryota; Metazoa; Chordata; Mammalia; Rodentia; Muridae. The record is from RNAcentral.